Long non-coding RNA from Magnolia sinica, 1112 nucleotides. RefSeq lists it as uncharacterized. NCBI's taxonomy places the organism in Eukaryota, Viridiplantae, Streptophyta, Magnoliopsida, Magnoliales, Magnoliaceae. The record is from RefSeq and is a predicted model, not a curated record. The transcript has 3 exons.
UUAGUUGCUUUGUAUUCUUAAUAACUAACAAUGUGAAAUUGAUUCAAAUAUAGCAACACUAAAAGAAAGAUGGAGGCACCCUGAUUAGUAGGACUGAAGUAUGGAUUAAAACCCAUACAAGAAAGGAUGGUUCUAUUCACAGUAAUGCGGUUUCACAUGUGGAAAAAGUUAAAGAGUUACUUGCUAGCAAAGAAAGUAAUUCCCACAACAUCCUCAACGAUCCAUUGACUCAAGUGUUUGCCCCUGAUACAAGGGGUCAUGUUCGAGGUGUUGGGACUACUAUUUUCCAUUCACAAAUCAGGGGGUCCAUUGCAGCUCUUGAAAAAAUCUCUUCGUAUAAAGGAAAAGUAGAAGAGCAAUCGUCCACAAUUCAAGAGUAAUCAUUCAAAAUUCAAGAGCUAUCUUCUAAAAUAGAUUUUCUUACGGACCAAAUUGGGGGUAUCAAAGAGAUGUUUCAGCAGUAACACAUGGAUUCGGUUCAAUCGGAGAAUCUAUAAUCGACUAGUGGACCCUCAGUUGGGAAUCAUCAAUGGGUAGAGAGAAUGCGGCCAUGCAAGUUGUACUCUUAGUGUAAAGAGCUCGUUGCUCAAGGGUGAGUUAUUUUAGCAGAUGAGCCUUAAAUGAUUCAUGGCAAACCUCUUCAGGAAGAUCUUUAUAAGGUUGCCAUUGAUAUCAUUAUCAAAGGAGAGGUCGAAUUGCCCGAGCCAGAUUGAUAUGAUUCGACUUUAGGCGAAGUUGGAAUUGGCUCAUUUGUUGCAUGACAUCAUUGCUUUACUGAGUUCACCGAUUAGCGACAAUAGUCUAAAACUUUUUUUGGACACUUAACCUUUUUGGACUGUAUAUAUGUUUGGAUUGUAUAGCUUACUUGAUUAGUUGUUUCUAUAGACUGGACAUGAUAGAUGUAAUGCAGGUUUGUGACAAAUGUGUUGAUGGGUUCAAUCAUCACUGCAUGGUAAGGAAUUAUAUCAUAGAUAAAACAGUUUACUGAAAGUAGACUCUACCAAUUUGGCUAACACUGCAUUGUUGUUGCUUAUUUUCAAGUAUCUGUAUAGGAGAGAUUUUCUUCUUGCAUCAGAGUUCAAUAUCAUGAAUGAAUAUAAGCUGUCAGGUUU